This 464-nucleotide ribosomal RNA is filed under the name uncultured Acholeplasma sp. RNAcentral's name for it is "bacterial SSU rRNA". It matches the Rfam family "Bacterial small subunit ribosomal RNA", at positions 910 to 1382 of the family's 1533-position model. The record is from RNAcentral. Lineage: Bacteria; Bacillati; Mycoplasmatota; Mollicutes; Acholeplasmatales; Acholeplasmataceae.
UUGACGGGAACCCGCACAAGCGGUGGAGUAUGUGUUUAAUUCGAGGAUACACGAGAACCUUACCAGGUCUUGACAUCCCUUGCAAAGCUAUGGAGACAUAGUGGAGGUUAUCAAGGAGACAGGUGGUGCAUGGUUGUCGUCAGCUCGUGUCGUGAGAUGUUGGGUUAAGUCCCGCAACGAGCGCAACCCUUAUUGCUAGUUACCAUCAUUAAGUUGGGGACUCUAGCGAGACUGCCAGUGAUAAACUGGAGGAAGUGGGGAUGACGUCAAAUCAUCAUGCCCCUUAUGACCUGGGCUACAAACGUGAUACAAUGGCUGAAACAAAGGGCAGCGAAGCAGUGAUGUGGAGCGAAACCCAAAAAAGCAGUCUCAGUUCGGAUUGAAGUCUGCAACUCGACUUCAUGAAGUUGGAAUCGCUAGUAAUCGUAGAUCAGAACGCUACGGUGAAUACGUUCUCGGGGUUU